UUCCAUUAGAGGUUAUUACAAGAUACUGAAUAUAGUUCCCUGGACCAUACAGUAGAUCUUCGAUAGCACCUGUAUUUUCAUCUACCAUUAGAAUUCGAAAGACAGGAGUUCCUGCUGUGGUGCAAUGGGAUGGGUGGUGUCUCUGCAGUGCUAGAAUGCAGGUUUGAUCCCUGGUCCAGCUCACUGGGUUAAAGGAUCUAGCUUUGCCCACAGCUGCCUCGGAGGUGGCAAGUGCAGCUUGGAUCUGAGCCCUGGCCCAUGAACUCCAUGUGCCACAGGGCAGCCAAAAAAAAAGGAUAUGACCCUAAAGACAGGGCGGCCAUCCUGGUUAUCUAAUUUACCAAUAGCUAGUCCUAUUUUAUCCUGGGCCCUCAUCAGUAAAACCAGAAUAAGAAGGAAGGAAUAAAAAAAUAAGUGAAAUCUGAGUAAGUGGUUUCUGACCAAAUUUUAGAAGAGUUGGUUUAAAUAAUCUGGCUGUGGAAAGAAUGGGUGAUUUCAAUCCAGCCUAUGCCAGAAUUGACUGACAUUGAAAUCGCAGGAAAGGAUGAUUUCUUGCCAAGGGAUCCUUGGGACGUUGCUAUUUUGAGCCAAGCAAAUAGCAGUUUAUAAAAGCCUCUAGGCUUCAAACAUAAUGACGGCAUGUGAAAACUGAGUAAAUAAUUGAGUUUGAUUUUCGAUGCCAAAGCAGUGUUGGAGAAUGUAAAAGUGAGGGGGCUUUUGGCCAGAUGCUUUCAAAGCUUUUCAUGGGUCCCUCAUGUCCAGGCAGCACUAUCUCUAGAUGCCUGGCCAUCAUCUCAACAAGAAAGAGGACCAUGGACCAUGAAGGGGCGAGUGAUGCCUGUGGCUGGGGGACAGCCUGAGCCAGCAGGACCCCAGCCAGUGACUGCUGAGGCCCCACUGACAGAGGUACCAGUCCUUCUCUGGCUGGAGGAGGAAGGUCACAGCUCUGGUGGGGAACCACUUCCCAGGACUAACUCCAUCCCGCAUGUCACAUCCCAUGCGGAGAAGUGGGCACGUAAUCCUUUCCUCCCGGGCUUGUCUAGGACUUUACAUCCACAAAUGGAGAAUGGGAGGUGGCAUUAAGAUAUGCUUACUCACUGAGUAUCUUGUGAGUCUAUUCUCUGAAUAAAAGCUCAUCAUUUAGAGGACAAAGGGCCUCUCUUUCUCCAUCUCCAGAAUUAAAAGCUAGUCCCAUAACAAGUGAACUCAGAUAAGAAGAGAGUUUGCUAGGAGCAUGCAGUGAUGGGCAGAGAGAAGAGAAAUGAGGUGAUUUCUGAAGAACUUGUUUCUUUUUAGCAUCUGAUAUGACCUGUGAGUCUUGGGCAAGGCUGUUGUUUUUGUUGUUGUUGUUGUUUUUCUACUUGCUGUGACUGGUAGCAAAUGUAGAGCCAUGGCUGUAAUUUACAUUUUGACAAUUUCUGCAAGACUUCCGGUAAAUGCUUCUGAAGACUAACUCAGUCUUCUAUUUCCUGCUUUUUCCUUUGUAGUUCUUUCUUUGUUCCUUUUCUGCUCUAAAGCAUGUCUGUUGCAAGAUGUCUUGAACCCUUUUCUGUUUUCAAUGAGCCUUGGAAAGCCUACGUAGAUGGGUGAGUGGAUGGAUGAAUGGACAGGCAGUCACAGAGACAGAAAGAUAAAUGAGGUGGAGAUAGUGACGGAGACUGAGCCAACAGGGGAAGGACACUACUCUUGCCUCCCUGUUGACAAGGGAGACUUUAAAAAACAGAAGGGUUUCUGUGGAAGGGGACUCAACUAAGGUUAGAAACACAUGGUCAAAAACUCUCUCUUGCCAAGGCUCAGGAUCAGUGUUCUUGACAAUUACAUAAAAGGAAAAUCAAAGAGUUUUUUAGUACAAUGGGAUAUCACUCAGCCAAAAAUAAUUGAAAUAAUGCCAUUUGCAGCAACACGGAUGAACCUGGAGAAGAUCACACUAAGUGAAGUAAGUCAGAGAAAGACAAACAUCGUAUGAUAUCACUUAUUCAUGGAAGUGAAAAAAUGUUACAAAUGAACUUAUUUACAAAAGAGAAACAGACUCAGACUUUGAAAACAAUCUUGUGGUCACCAAAGGGGAAAGGUGGUGGUGGGGGAGGAUAAAUCAGGAGGUUGAGAUUAACAGAUACACACUACUAUAUAUAAAACAGGCAAUUUGCAAGGACCUGCUGUAUAGCACAGGGAAUUCUACUCAAUAUUCAGUAAUAACCUAUACAAGAAAAGAAUCUGAAAACAAAUGGAUAUGUGUAUAUGUAUAAUUGAAUCAAUUUGCUUUACGCCUGGACCACAACAUUGUAAAUCAACUACACUCCAAUAGAAAAUAAAAAGUGAAAAAGAAACAGACAAACCAGGAGUUCCCACUGUGGUGCAGUGGGUUAAGGAUUCAGUGUUGUGUCCACGCAAGCAUGGGUUUGAUCCCAGAGCUGACUGACACACUGGUUAAGGAUCUGGUGUUGCCACAUCUGUGUAGAGGUGGAAGCUGCAGCUCAGAUUCAAGCCAUGGCCUGAGAACUCCCAUAUGCCAUGGGUGUGACCAAAAAAAAUUUUUAGAUAAAAAAUAAAUAGGAGUUCCCAUUGUGGCUCAACAGAAACGAAUCCGACUAGGAACCAUGAGUUUUUGAGGCACCAUUUUUCUUUAGUACCAGAGGCUACACAGGUAAAUUGCUACUCUAUUUCCAUAAUAUUUUCAUGGAAAAAAUUUACAUAAGGCAAACAGGACAAGAACAGUACUGAAUAGAAAAUUCAGCUUUCUGCUUCACUUUUUCCAGGUUCCUAGAGGUAUAGGGUCAAGAGAUGGAUUCAAAACACUUAACCCAUUGAGAACAUACCAUGGGUCCCCCCCUCACCCUGGUUUCAUAUCUUCAUCAAGGUCAGCCCUGGUCCUUGCACUGCCCUUUCUAGCCAGGUUGCUCAAAGUUUUCCUAUCGUCUCAUUAAUCUCUAGGAACCAGUAGGUUUUAAGUGCUCAUAAUUAGUUUUAUGUGUUUUUGCAGGCGUGUAAAGAAUGAGAGGAAAUGCAGGCACUGCCAGCGAAUCAAUGCCAGAUCACAGUGCAGUGAACAUGUCUUGCCCACCUCCCUGCAGGUCCCUUCCCCAUGAUGUCACUCCCCUCUUAAUGAUCAGCACCUGCCAAUUAGUCAAAUGCAACAAGAACCAUGCCAUCCACUAGGUGAAGCCCCCUGAGCAUCUUGCUAUGAAAGCCAGCACACAGGGAGGAAUUGUCAUGAGGUCACUCCUACAAGGAAGGUCUCACAAUUCCUGCCUUGCUUUUCUACCCCUGGAAGAAUACAAUUUGAACUUUAACUCAGGAAAAAUCACCUUUGUCUAUAGGAGUAUCUCUCCCUCUCCAGGGAAAAGAUGCACUCAGAUACUGAAACCAGACUGGCAGUUGAUGCGCCAGCACAUCCAGCUAUUUGAGCUGGGCUUUUAAUUCUGUCCGGGAACGCAUGUCUUUUGAAGUGACAACAAGUGACAAAAAGGUGUUGGGUCUGACUGAACAGAAGCUUGGAGUUGCUUUGGCGCCUUUCUGUCUUCCUCUCACAUUGAAACCCCCACCGUUUGAAUGUUGCUUUGCCGCUAGAGAGUUAGCACACACUGAUUUCAACAUCGAGAAGUUGUUUGCUAAUAGGAGCGAAGCGACUGAAGUUGAGUGGAGAUGAGUAGGGAGACAUGAUAAGAAUUCAUGCCCCGCAGCCCAGGAAAACCUGCUCUCACUGAACAGAAACACCUAGGAGAUGCUGUUCCCAGAUCUUCUCCUCCCCACCCCAUCUUCCUCACCUCCCUUGAUCAUCUCUCUUCUCAUGAACCAACUGCUUAUAUAUUUUCUCCAUCUUUGAAUAUGAAAGAGUUUUGGCUGCCUUUCUUCUCUGGUCUCUAGUUAUUUUUCAUCUUAUCUGAACCUAUUUUCAUUCCUGCCUCUUUUCCUUCUCUUAGGAGAUGGGAUUAUUUAAGACCCAAGUCCUUCCCCUCCCAUCCCCGGGAAGCGUUAUAGGGCUGGGCACAUCAAAACCUUUGAACUAAGUAGUUCUGCAUGUCCCCCUGCCAGUAAGCAAGUAAGUCCAAGAGACCAAAAAGUGACCCACAUAUUCACUGAAUGGGAAUAGAAAGUGGCUUGUUGAGUUUUCGACUAGCCCUGGAUUCUGAAGGAAACAAGAAUAAGCUCAUUGGUUCACUCACAAACUUUCUUUGCACCCAGCCCAGUGUUAAGUAUUAGUGACGCCAAGGUUCCUGAGAUGAGCCUUUGUUCUGCAGAAUUUGACAAUGUGGUGGGCAGGACAAAGGAGCUGAAUCCAACAGUGUCUCAUGCCUCUACUGCCUUGUAAGUGGCUCACUUUUCUCCUGAAGAUAAUGAUCUAGUUCUGGUAAUGCAAUAAACGUUUGAUGACAAUGAUGGCAAAAGAAAAAAAAUUCAACCCGCUUUAUUAUCUUCCUAAUGCUGCCAGGACAAGGGACUGGGGGAAAGCUGGAGAAACAGUGAUCUUAACAUAUCUACCAGUAUCCUGAUUUCACUAAUACAAUUGGUAUGGCUCAAUUUGUUAAAAUGCUGACACACGUCCCUCCUAGUAUGUAGAAAGCCAUUUCCUUGAGUGCCAUAGCUUGGACUGCUUUAUUGUCCUUGUCUCCAAAGCUUGACUGCCUGCCACCCCUGCCCCCUCCCCAGAACCUCUGAACCUCCCUAUGAUCCACAGACCAGGGAUUUCAGAAUCUUGCUCCACUGCUACAGGUGGGAUCCAUUCUGAGUGGACACUAUGUCCUAUUGGUUGUUAAACAUUGUUGUAAUCAUUCUUGUUUGUAUUGUUACUACAUACCGUAGAAGCAGAAAAAAAUAUGCAUGGCAAAUAAGGCCAAUGGUCCUUUGGAAAUUGGCAAGGGAAGGAAGGCUUUGACAGUGACUGGAAAUCAGAGAUACCAUAGUCACAACAUGAACAGCCCCUUAAGAAGACUCUGUUUCAUAAUGUGUUUGAGUUAACUUUAAUGACCCAUACUAAAGGUUCUGUAACUAGGUGGUGAUGAUGAUUGUACAACUAUAAAUAUAAUAAAAUUCACUGAAUUAUCAUUAAAAAGAUUGCUGAAGUCAUGGACUAAGCAAUGCUCUUAUCUCUACCGACCAAAGAAGCUAAUAAAUUCUAUUAAAAAACAUUUCUUACAGCAGAUUAUUAUUAUUAUUAUUAUUAUUAUUGGCUUCUUGGUCAUCAGAGUUGGUUCAAUCCUCCUUCCGGAAACUUUUUAAAAAUUAAUUUCUAGGAACACGUAUGCUAGAAUUCUUUGCCUUCGCGACAUGUUCACAUUCUGCAAAAACAUGAAAGAUAGGUUUCAGCAAAUGUACUCUCUACUUUCCUUAUUACUCAUGUUAAAUUAUAUCCUUUUACACUUUGAAAGAUACCUAAAUCCAAAGUUCUAGGAUAGGAUGAGGAAAAUACAUUUUAAACAAGGAUUUAAGUAUCUAUCAUACAUCAAGGAAUGUUCUAAGCACUUGGUACGCAUGAUUGAACGCUGACUGCAACCUACCUGAGAUGGGCAUUAAUUUCCCCAUUAUCAUGGAUGAGAACUUGGAGAUACGAGGUAUUAAAUUUUAUGUCUCCUUUAUAUCUGACCUCUGAAGCUGGGCACCCAUCCCAUCUUCUUGAAACUUUCUCCCCUUUUGUUAUUGGCACCACCUCUGGUUCUUCUCUCUCAUGGUUCAUGAGUUCCUUUUCAGGUACGUUCUAAAGUGUUGCUGGCCCUGGUGUUUUCUCCUCAGUACUUACUCCACUGUGGAUUCAGCUUCCCUCUGUGUGUUGAUAAGGCAAAUGCUGAUGGGAAUAAGAAGGAAUGGUCACCACUUCAUCCUUCCUUAACUCUUUUAGAACUGUUUUUAAAUACAUUCAUAUUUAUAUAUAUAGAUAGAUUGCUCAUUGAUAUAUAUGCAUAUCAAUGAAUUGAUCAUACAAUCAAUUCAUUGAUAUGCAUACAUAUCAAUGCCUAUGUCAUUGUUCUACUCAAUAUCCUCAAUAUCUUCACUUUCUAUAAAAUAAGGCCUGAAUUACUGAGAAAUAGGGAGUUGUCACUACCCUGUGCAGAUAGCGCAGACACCCAGGGGUGCUGAAUUCUGGCUUUGGGUGUGGAUUAGGCAAAGUGGCAAGUGACUGGUCAGCUCUUCCCUGAGAUGGCAGCGAUUCAGGCAAUGGGAGUCCACGGCAGUCUGUCCCAAAGAUGCUAGAAUGGGGUGCAGAGAGGAGCACUGGUAGGAAGACACACUCCAGGGAGAGGGAGGAUUCCAAGGAGAUGGAGACUGCACACAUUUUCUGAGCUUAAGAGACAGUGGUGAUCUGACACUUUAUCAGGAGGCCAUACCCCCACUCUCUACCAGGAAUGGAUAGAGAAGGAGUCUUUAAAAUAGAUGCAAACUAUUACAUUUAGAAUGGAUAAACAAUAAGGUCUUGCUAUAUAGCACAGGGAACUACGUCCAAUCUUCUGGGAUAGACCAUGAUGGGAAAAGAAUAUAAAAAUUCUUUUUAGGGCUGCACCCAUGGCACAUGGAGGUUCCCAGGCUAGGGGUCGAAUUGGAGCUGCAGCCGCUGGCCUACACCACAGCCACAGCAACGUGG
RNAcentral lists this long non-coding RNA (6574 nucleotides) under Sus scrofa (pig). RNAcentral describes it as "lncRNA (ENSSSCG00060062741.1)". Lineage: Eukaryota; Metazoa; Chordata; Mammalia; Artiodactyla; Suidae. The record is from RNAcentral.